This is a non-coding RNA of Triticum aestivum (bread wheat), 115 nucleotides long. Lineage: Eukaryota; Viridiplantae; Streptophyta; Magnoliopsida; Poales; Poaceae. The record is from Rfam.
UACAUACUCCCUCCGUUUCGAAUUACUCGUCCCAGAAAUAGAUGUAUCUCGAUCUAUUUUAGUUCUAGAUACAUCCAUUUCUGCGACGAGUAAUUUGGAACGGAGGAAGUAUAUA